UACGUAGGGUGCAAGCGUUAAUCGGAAUUACUGGGCGUAAAGCGUGUGUAGGCGGUUCGGAAAGAAAGAUGUGAAAUCCCAGGGCUCAACCUUGGAACUGCAUUUUUAACUGCCGAGCUAGAGUAUGUCAGAGGGGGGUAGAAUUCCACGUGUAGCAGUGAAAUGCGUAGAUAUGUGGAGGAAUACCGAUGGCGAAGGCAGCCCCCUGGGAUAAUACUGACGCUCAGACACGAAAGCGUGGGGAGCAAACAGGAUUAGAUACCCUGGUAGUCCACGCCCUAAACGAUGUCAACUAGCUGUUGGGGCCGUUAGGCCUUAGUAGCGCAGCUAACGCGUGAAGUUGACCGCCUGGGGAGUACGGUCGCAAGAUUAAA
RNAcentral lists this ribosomal RNA (374 nucleotides) under uncultured bacterium. RNAcentral describes it as "bacterial SSU rRNA". It matches the Rfam family "Bacterial small subunit ribosomal RNA", at positions 524 to 898 of the family's 1533-position model. The record is from RNAcentral.